UGGAGGAACGCCCGGGGGGAAGGGGACUUUAUGGUUUGUAAUUGCCUUUGAGGCGGGAAAGGGUGGGGAGCAAACAGGAUUAGAUACCUUGGUAGUCCACGCCGUAAACGAUGAGUGUUAAGUGUUAGAGGGUUUCCGCCCUUUAGUGCUGAAGUUAACGCAUUAAGCACUCCGCCUGGGGAGUACGGCCGCAAGGCUGAAACUCAAAGGAAUUGACGGGGGCCCGCACAAGCGGUGGAGCAUGUGGUUUAAUUGGAAGCAACGCGAAGAACCUUACCAGGUCUUGACAUCCUCUGAAAACCCUAGAGAUAGGGCUUCUCCUUCGGGAGCAGAGUGACAGGUGGUGCAUGGUUGUCGUCAGCUCGUGUCGUGAGAUGUUGGGUUAAGUCCCGCAACGAGCGCAACCCUUGAUCUUAGUUGCCAUCAUUAAGUUGGGCACUCUAAGGUGACUGCCGGUGACAAACCGGAGGAAGGUGGGGAUGACGUCAAAUCAUCAUGCCCCUUAUGACCUGGGCUACACACGUGCUACAAUGGACGGUACAAAGAGCUGCAAGACCGCGAGGUGGAGCUAAUCUCAUAAAACCGUUCUCAGUUCGGAUUGUAGGCUGCAACUCGCCUACAUGAAGCUGGAAUCGCUAGUAAUCGCGGAUCAGCAUGCCGCGGUGAAUACGUUCCCGGGCCUUGUACACACCGCCCGUCACACCACGAGAGUUUGUAACACCCGAAGUCGGUGGGGUAACCUUUUGGAGCCAGCCGCCU
This 759-nucleotide ribosomal RNA is filed under the name Bacillus sp. 2410I. RNAcentral describes it as "bacterial SSU rRNA". It matches the Rfam family "Bacterial small subunit ribosomal RNA", at positions 699 to 1458 of the family's 1533-position model. The record is from RNAcentral. Lineage: Bacteria; Bacillati; Bacillota; Bacilli; Caryophanales; Bacillaceae.